This is a long non-coding RNA of Serinus canaria (Common canary), 371 nucleotides long. RefSeq lists it as uncharacterized. The record is from RefSeq and is a predicted model, not a curated record. The transcript has 3 exons. NCBI's taxonomy places the organism in Eukaryota, Metazoa, Chordata, Aves, Passeriformes, Fringillidae.
GCACUGUCCAGACAGGGUUGUACAAGCCCCUGGAGCUGCUGCCAGAUGCUAUUAUGCUCUCACUCUGAAGAUGUCAAACUCCUGAAGAGAGCAAUUGUUUUGCUUCAGGUUGCAGUAAAGCUUACAAAGACUAUGCUUGGGGCGAGAGACAGAGGCUUUGUGUGUACCAAGGAAAUUUGGUGUAUGAAGAGAGUGGAGCUGGGCACAGGACUGAUACAACUUGCCAGCAAGUGAGUUCCUCCACAAUUUAGUCUUGGCUGUGUCUCCAGUGAGAAAGUACUACUUGGAACAUGAAGGAAUUUGAAAGAACACACAGAGGAAAACAAAAAAUCCAAGAUGUCAUUUUGCAUUUGAUUUCAAAAAGUGAAUUU